RNAcentral lists this ribosomal RNA (253 nucleotides) under uncultured bacterium. RNAcentral describes it as "partial 16S ribosomal RNA". It matches the Rfam family "Bacterial small subunit ribosomal RNA", at positions 524 to 776 of the family's 1533-position model. The record is from RNAcentral.
UACAGAGGUCUCGAGCGUUGUUCGGAUUCAUUGGGCGUAAAGGGUGCGUAGGUGGCGCUGUAAGUCGGGUGUGAAAUCCUGAGGCUCAACCUCGGAACUGCAUUCGAUACUGCCGUGCUUGAGGACUGGAGAGGAGACUGGAAUUUACGGUGUAGCGGUGAAAUGCGUAGAUAUCGUAAGGAAGACCAGUGGCGAAGGCGGGUCUCUGGACAGUUCCUGACGCUGAGGCACGAAGGUCAGGGGAGCAAACGGG